UACGUAGGGUGCAAGCGUUAAUCGGACUUACUGGGCGUAAAGCGUGCGCAGGCGGACUUUUAAGCCAGAUGUGAAAGCCCCGAGCUUAACUUGGGAAUUGCGUUUGGAACUGGGAGUCUAGAGUCUGUCAGAGGGGGAUGGAAUUCCACGUGUAGCAGUGAAAUGCGUAGAGAUGUGGAGGAACACCGAUGGCGAAGGCAGUCCCCUGGGAUAAGACUGACGCUCAUGCACGAAAGCGUGGGGAGCAAACAGGAUUAGAUACCCUGGUAGUCCACGCCCUAAACGAUGUCUACUAGUUGUUGGGGUAGCAAUACCGCAGUGACGCAGCUAACGCGUGAAGUAGACCGCCUGGGGAGUACGGUCGCAAGAUUAAA
Molecule: ribosomal RNA, 374 nt
Filed under: uncultured bacterium
Lineage: Bacteria
Description: bacterial SSU rRNA
Rfam family: Bacterial small subunit ribosomal RNA
Source: RNAcentral